AUGGUUCCAUUGCAAAGAACACCGGGAUGUUGGGUUGAAGAGCUACCAUCUGAGCUAUGGAGUAUCAACACUACGCCCAACCGAUCUACAGGAUACACACCAUUUUUUAUGGUCUACGGAGCAGAGGCGGUUCUCCCUAGUGAUAUCCGGCACGAUUCGCCUCGUGUGGUGGCUUAUGUUGAAGCGGACAAUGAGACAGCAGGGCAAGAUGCUUUGGACCUAUUAGAUGAGGAGCGUGACAUAGCGGCUGCCUGCUCGGCGAUUUAUCAACAAGAUCUUCGUCGCUAUCACAGUCGCCGGGUCAGAACCAGAACUUUUCAAGAAGGAGAUUUGGUGCUUCGGCUCAUCCAAGAUCAGACGGAUAUGCACAAGUUAUCCCCACCUUGGGAGGGACCUUUCGUGGUCAGCAAGAAUCUGCACAACGGGUCGUACUAUGUGAUUGAUAUUCGAGAGCAUAAAGACUCACUCACAUCAGAGGAGGAGACCAACAGGCCGUGGAAUAUAGCUCAUCUUCAGCCUUACUACACUUGA
Molecule: ribosomal RNA, 531 nt
Filed under: Triticum aestivum (bread wheat)
Lineage: Eukaryota; Viridiplantae; Streptophyta; Magnoliopsida; Poales; Poaceae
Description: partial small subunit ribosomal RNA
Source: RNAcentral